Molecule: long non-coding RNA, 437 nt
Filed under: Equus caballus (horse)
Lineage: Eukaryota; Metazoa; Chordata; Mammalia; Perissodactyla; Equidae
Description: lncRNA (ENSECAG00000041176.2)
Source: RNAcentral
CUGAGAGGGAGAGCCUGAACAAAAGAGAAGGCAGGCUGAAAAGUUCCACACUGAACACAUUCCUACAAAUGUGGCUAGAGAACAUGGUCUAGCUAAACUUCACCUUUAGGCUACCCGUGGAGGCAAGUGGGAUGUGGCUUGAAUAUCAAUAUUGGCUCGCACACAGAUUGCAUCCUCCGAACAGAGGCUCCGGAUGGCUCACCAGGCUGGCUGUGGGCUCUCCUGGCGAGGCUCGUUCUGUCUUUAAGAGGGCUCAUUCAUUUUGCAUGACAGCUCAACUUUUAAUGUAGAUCUCAUUUCAGUGUUAUCCCUACAUCAUCCUACCAUGUAAAAUAAAGUAUCUGCAUGUGCUUGAACUCGGAAUGUUUUAUAGCGUCAUGUCAGAAGUUUAUUCUUAGUUGAAUGCUUAUUCUCUCGGCAUGUGAGAUGCAUUUAUC